Molecule: ribosomal RNA, 478 nt
Filed under: uncultured bacterium
Lineage: Bacteria
Description: partial 16S ribosomal RNA
Rfam family: Bacterial small subunit ribosomal RNA
Source: RNAcentral
GAUGAACGCUGGCGGCGUGCUUAACACAUGCAAGUCGAACGGGAAUUAUUUUAUUGAUCUUUCGGUCGAUUUCAUUUAAUUCUAGUGGCGGACGGGUGAUUAACGCGUGGGUAACCUGCCUUAUACAGGGGGAUAACAGUCAGACAUGGCUGCUAAUACCGCAUAAGCGCACAGAGCUGCAUUUCUCAUUGUGAAAAACUCCGGUGGUAUAAGAUGGACCCGCGUUGGAUUAGCUUGUUGGCAGGGUAACGGCCUACCAAGGCGACGAUCCAUAGCCGGCGUGAGAGAGUGAACGGAGACAUUGGGACUGAGAAGCGGCCCAGAAUCCUACGGGAGGCAGCAGUGGGGAAUAUAGCACAAUGGGGGAAACGAUGAUGCAGCGACGCCGCGUGAAGGAAGAAGUAUGGCGGUAUGUAAACUUCUAUCAGCAGGGAAGAUAGUGACGGUACCUGACUAAGAAGCCCCGGCUAACUACGUG